Molecule: long non-coding RNA, 420 nt
Organism: Acanthochromis polyacanthus (spiny chromis)
Lineage: Eukaryota; Metazoa; Chordata; Actinopteri; Pomacentridae
Exons: 3
Source: RefSeq, a predicted model, not a curated record
GUGUUGGUGACGCCCAGCGGGAUGGCCCCCGCUCUCUUCAACUGGGCCACAGCUGGAGAAUCGACGGUGGCUACGACUCGUCGCCUGGAGAUCACGCCUGUAGUGAAGGGCAUACCUGCAACAUGGAAGCAUGUCCAAUCCUCAGGCCGACAUGUGUAACCAAAGGAAAGUAGCUGGUUUAAAGUGGCUGGAAGGUGAUAACUGGACGUUACCCUGGAGGGCAAAGGACUCUUUGACAGACAUCGGCACUCCCAGUAAAGGCAGUCGGUCCUCCAGCACCUCCUCUCCUCCAGUCUCCUCCUCGAUCAGCUUGUCUACCUGGGCCGCCUCCUGGAGGGCAGCAGCGAACCUGGACAGAGGAUUUUUUGAUUCAGAUACUGUUGAUGCCUCCACAACAUCCUCACAUACUGGUAAGCUGGC